Molecule: ribosomal RNA, 889 nt
Filed under: uncultured archaeon
Lineage: Archaea
Description: bacterial SSU rRNA
Rfam family: Archaeal small subunit ribosomal RNA
Source: RNAcentral
CGGUUGAUCCUGCCGGACCCGACUGCUAUUUGGGUGAGGAUAAGCCAUGCGAGUCGUAUGGGAUACCUAAAUUUCCCAUGGCAGACUGCUCAGUAACACAUGAUCAACUUACCCUAUAGAGAAAAAUACCCUCGGGAAACUGAGGGUAAUGUUUCAUAGUUGAAAAGGCUUGGAAAAGUUUUUCAACGAAAUGGGUAAGAAAAAUGGUUCUUAUCCGCUAUAGGAUAGGAUCGUGUUCGAUUAUGGUUGUUGGUGAGGUAACGGCUCACCAAGCCGAUAAUCGAUAGGGGCCGUGAGAGCGGGAGCCCCGAGAUGGGUACUGAGACAACGACCCAGGCCUUACGAGGCGCAGCAGGCGCGAAACCUCCGCAAUACACGAAAGUGUGACGGGGUUACCCAAAGUGUUCAAUAUUGAACUGUGGUAGGUGAGUAAUGUCCCCUACUAGAAAGGAGAGGGCAAGGCUGGUGCCAGCCGCCGCGGUAAAACCAGCUCUUCAAGUGGUCGGGAUAAUUAUUGGGCUUAAAGUGUCCGUAGCCGGUUUAGUAAGUUCCUGGUAAAAUCGGGUAGCUUAACUAUCCGUAUGCUAGGAAUACUGCUAUACUAGAGGGCGGGAGAGGUCUGAGGUACUACAGGGGUAGGGGUGAAAUCUUAUAAUCCUUGUAGGACCACCAGUGGCGAAGGCGUCAGACUGGAACGCGCCUGACGGUGAGGGACGAAAGCCAGGGGAGCGAACCGGAUUAGAUACCCGGGUAGUCCUGGCCGUAAACGAUGCAUACUAGGUGAUGGUACGGCCAUGAGCCGUAUCAGUGCCGUAGGGAAACCGUUAAGUGUGCCGCCUGGGAAGUACGGUCGCAAGGCUAAAACUUAAAGGAAUUGGCGGGGGAGCAC